UCUUAUCCAGAGUGGUGGAGGGACUGGCCCUGUGAAACCCGGCAACCUGUUAAUAGUUAAAACUUAACAGUUAAUAGUUGAAAUAAAAACAAAAAUGUUUUUAUUUUUUAGAAAUUUAGUAAAAUUUCAUAAAUAACUAUUAAUUAUAAACUAAAAACUAUUGACGUUGGUGCUAAUUCCUGCAGUUUUAUAACUGAGUGAUGAGA
This 206-nucleotide non-coding RNA is filed under the name Clostridium saudiense. RNAcentral describes it as "SAM riboswitch (S box leader)". It matches the Rfam family "SAM riboswitch aptamer (S box leader)". Rfam says of the family: The SAM riboswitch is found upstream of a number of genes which code for proteins involved in methionine or cysteine biosynthesis in Gram-positive bacteria. The SAM riboswitch acts at the level of transcription termination control. The record is from RNAcentral. Lineage: Bacteria; Bacillati; Bacillota; Clostridia; Eubacteriales; Clostridiaceae.